AGUAAACAUUGUUUUAGACACUGAACCCACUCGCUCGAGUUUUAAAUAUUUUCUUCAAGAGUGAGGAAUAUGACUAUUUCUGCAAGAUUCCAAUUUGGUCUUAGUUUCUGUAAAAAUAAAAAGAAAGCCAUGAUGUGCUCUUAAAAACCUAUUCCUUAGGCGUUUGCUAUCUGCUUUCUAUUUUGUGAGCCAGUGAGAACAAAACCAACGCCCUUAUGGACACAGGACUUCAGUGUGAAAAUAGAUGAGGUCAAGAGUGAAAACAGAACAAAGGUGAGCCUGAGGCCACUUAGUGCCUGGCAACCACAUUCUUCCUGGCCUGCCAACACCCUCAGGCUACAAGGUGUUCACUGGCCCCCAGCCUCCCAUGGGUGCAGGAGUAUCCUAACCUUACAAAUUCGAGAACUGACUUAAAGGGCGGAGUUUCAGACAAGUCAGUGACAUUUAUUUUGGAAUAUAUCAAGAAAACAUGACCCCGAGUCCUGCUUUGCUUCAUAUAAGGUCCAGCCCAUGGAAACGCCUUUGAGGGAAUUUGAUAAAGUGCAGCUGCAUUUUCCUUCUCUAGCUACACUCAUGUCAAAGCAGAUAACGCUACACUGGGCUUAACUCUGAGACAGUAGUAACAAUAAUAGCUUUGUUUAUUGAUCUCAUGUUAGGAUGAUAUAGCACCAAGGAUCUCCCCCAUGGCAUCCAAUUUAUUACUCAUAAAAUAACUUCUUGUGAGAUUUGCCCAUUUGCUUUUAUUUAACUAGGAAGAACACUAUGAUUAGAAACGUUCAGUCACUUGGUACCAAAACAUAGUAUGUGAUACUGAAAUUUGUACCGGUUACAUCUUUCUUUUUCUUAAAAAAAAAAAAAAAAAAAAAAAAAAAAAAAAAAAAAAAAAACUUGCUACAUUUUUAUUUGUUUACUUGUGUGCAUGCUACAAAGUGCUUGUGGAGGUCAGAGGCCAACUUGUAGGGGGUCAGUUCUUUUCUUCCACUGUGUGGGUUCCAGACACUCAGGUUGUCAGGCUUAGUGACAAGCACUUUCAUCAGCUGAGUUAUCCCACUACACACACACACACACACACACACACACACACACACCCUAGUCUUGCUACUCAGUCUAGGUUGGCCUUGAACCCCAGUGCUGCUAGGAUCAAGGGUGUGCAUCACCACACUCAGCGCAGGCACAUUCUCCUUCUGUAUUGUGCUUACGGUGUCCAUAUUGCUUUGUGUUUUGCUUGCUUUUCUUCAAAGGCUUCUGGCAUUUGGACAGGGACAUCAGUCUGCCUUCUGUUAUCAUGGUUUCGACGCAGACAAAACCUUCACAGACCAUGAAAAUCAACACAACAGAGCUUCUCGUUUUCCUUCCAGUGACCCCUUCCCAAAGUGGGCUUCCAUGACUCCAUGGGUGAGGUGAGAAUUGCACAAGCUGCCCAGCCAUGGAGUUACUUUCAAACUUGACUCUGCUUGCUUCGACUCUUGGGAUUGGUUGCUGUGGCUGACGCAUCACCAUUUAUUGGUGCCAGCAAUGUGGUUCAACUUGGUAAGUAUGGUCGUGGGAUUUUAAUCCUCUUUUCUUGGUUUGCUGUUUGUUUUGAUGCUCUGAUUUUUGCUUUUUGAGACAGAGUCUUGCUGUGUAAUCCAGGCUGACCUCACAUUUGCAAUUCUCUUGUUUCUUCCUCCCAGGGGCUGAAAUGACAGAGCAAAGGGCAAAGCCCAAACCAUAGCCUGCCAGACUCAACAGUAUUUGUCCUUGUUUACCUCUCUUAGUCAUCUAAUCAUCUCAAACUGGCUUUUCUUGGCUGCCUAUGCUUUUCUUCAAAUGUACCAAAUACAUCCCCACUAAGGGCCUCUAACCUUGCUGUCUCCACUUUCCAGAACUGACUUCCUUGUCCCCAUGUUUUUUCCAAGUCUCUGCUUCAAAUGCUUAAAUGCUACUGCCUGGACCUCUGGCCCCUCUUCCUUCAAGCCUACCUUGUCUCUCUGACCCACUUUAGUUUUCCUCCUAGUAUUUUCCACUGAUAUAUUUCAUAUCUUCUAUUUUAUUUCCAAUGUGUUCUACCAAAAAGGUAAAGUUGGAAAUGCCAAAGCAUCGAUUUUGUUCACUACCUAAAACUUCAUCACACAGAAUAGGGCUAGACCCUCAGUGUAACUAUUUGUGGAGAGAACGGUGGCACAACACUGUGUCCACUAGAACCCUGGCAACAUUAUCUCUUUCCUGCCAGCACUGCCAGGACACCUAAACUUCAGGUCUUCCCUCAUGGCCCACAUGCCAUAUUGACAUUUUCCCAUUAGUCAUUAAGGUGCUGGCUCACUGGUGCCGUUGAGGACCCUCCCUGCCAUCUUUAGUCAAUAGCCAAACCUUUAUACGUAGCCAUCUUAUGAUCCCAAGAAAACCACCAUGGUUCCAGAGUUAAUUUAAAGUAAUAUAUUGCUUCACACACAGAGAGAUUCCUUACAUUAGUGUAUUUUUCUUUAACUGGGGAAGAAAACUCUUUCCUCUGGAAGGUUCUUGGCAAGUCUCCCUUCCCCACGACAAAGGCCAGUAUCUUAGAGCAAAGGAGGCUGGGAAAGCAAGGUGCUAGUGUCAGCUGCCUCCGUGACUGAGGCUGGGAAGUGUGGUGGAGAGUACGGACAGUUGCUGAAGAGGGAGCAAGAGCAGCUACAGAAGUGCAUGUACUUUUAACUGCAGAAACAAAUCCUUUUAUUUGUGUUCUCUUGCCAUCUUACAGACUUGAUUUUUGCUUAAUGGAUAUCAGUUACUUAUUCUGUAUCCAUGGGAAUAAUAUUUGGACAUUUUCUUCUGUUUCUAUUGUGCUCUACAAAUAUGAAUCCAUUAGUGUCUUCAGAAUGUUCUCAGGACUAAUGCGUUCAUACUUAUAAAACACUUGUGGCAAUACUUUGAUACAGUAGCCUAUGAAGCAAUAUGUAUUAUAAAUCGAGUUGAACUUUAAAUAAGCUCAAUCAGUGCUAUCAUACUAGAAAAUAUCUGUUAUCUGUAUAUCUACCAUCUAUCAUCACCUAUCCAUCCAUCCAUCCAUCCAUCCAUCCAUCCAUCCAUCCAUCCAUCUAUCAUAGUUCUAGAACUCAAACUCAGGGAAUUGUAUAUGCUCAGCAAGCUUUCUGUGAUUAACAUCCUAACCCUUGGUUUUACAAGUGGUGAUCUCAUUAUAUGGCCCAAGCUGGCUUGAACUUAACAAUUAUCCUGCCUCAGCCUCCUAAGUGUUGGGAUUAUAAGUAUCACAAUGUGUAGUGUAAAGAUGUCUUACUUUAAGAAGCACUAGACUGUCAAAGAAAAUCUCUAAUUUUUAGAAAGAUGUUAAUUCAUCUUUAAGUGAUUCUCCAGAACUGUGGCCAUAUUCAUGGGAUCACAAGAAGAUGGGCAAAAGUAAGGGAUUUCUCUACGUGAGCAUCCCUUUCUGAUUGUUGGUUUUGUUUUGUUUUGUCUGCCUUUUCAUAUUUUAACACGAGAUUCCAGCCUAGCCUGCUAGGAAAGGGUGUACAUCCUCUGGGGAGCAGAGAUUCCCAUGGGAGAGAUGUCUUUUUCAGCUGUGGAAUUCCAGUGUCGUGCAUAGAGGUCUUUUCUUCAGAUCCAUUCAGUUUCUGCUCAGAACACCCAGUGUCCAAUUCUGGUACUAGUGUGGGCAGAGAGUGGUAAUAUGUCUAGCUGAUUGGAUAGGGCACUGGCCAUCUUAGAACCUCAUGCAGAGAGUAUAACCAAAGCAGUUUUACUUAAUAGCCACCCUUUAGACAAUUUUCUUUUCCUUCCUUCCUUCCUCCCUCCCUCCCCCUCUCUCUUUCUCUCUCUCUUUCUUUCUUUCUUUCUUUCUUUCUUUCUUUCUUUCUUUCUUUCUUU
This 3843-nucleotide long non-coding RNA is filed under the name Cricetulus griseus (Chinese hamster). RNAcentral's name for it is "lncRNA (ENSCGRG00015041130.1)". Lineage: Eukaryota; Metazoa; Chordata; Mammalia; Rodentia; Cricetidae. The record is from RNAcentral.